This 472-nucleotide ribosomal RNA is filed under the name uncultured bacterium. RNAcentral's name for it is "bacterial SSU rRNA". It matches the Rfam family "Bacterial small subunit ribosomal RNA", at positions 8 to 526 of the family's 1533-position model. The record is from RNAcentral.
AGAGUUUGAUCAUGGCUCAGAAUGAACGCUGGCGGCAUGCCUAACACAUGCAAGUCGAACGAGACCUUCGGGUCUAGUGGCGCACGGGUGCGUAACGCGUGGGAAUCUGCCCCUUGGUUCGGAAUAACUCAGAGAAAUUUGAGCUAAUACCGGAUGAUGACGUAAGUCCAAAGAUUUAUCGCCAAGGGAUGAGCCCGCGUAGGAUUAGCUAGUUGGUGUGGUAAAGGCGCACCAAGGCGACGAUCCUUAGCUGGUCUGAGAGGAUGAUCAGCCACACUGGGACUGAGACACGGCCCAGACUCCUACGGGAGGCAGCAGUGGGGAAUAUUGGACAAUGGGCGAAAGCCUGAUCCAGCAAUGCCGCGUGAGUGAUGAAGGCCUUAGGGUUGUAAAGCUCUUUUACCCGGGAAGAUAAUGACUGUACCGGGAGAAUAAGCCCCGGCUAACUCCGUGCCAGCAGCCGCGGUAAUAC